Molecule: long non-coding RNA, 308 nt
Organism: Dreissena polymorpha
Lineage: Eukaryota; Metazoa; Mollusca; Bivalvia; Myida; Dreissenidae
Exons: 3
Source: RefSeq, a predicted model, not a curated record
AGAGCUUAUGGGAUGGCAUGGUGUCUGUGUGUGUGUGUGUUAGACGUUGUCUUGUUUAUCCGAUAAAGUCCACAGUUUUCAUCCGAUUCUUUUCAAACUUACUCAGUGUCUUUAUAUUAAUGAGGACUCGAACCCUUUUGAUUUUCAGGUUACUGGGUCAAAGGUCAAGGUCACAGUGACUCGAAAUAGUAAAAACUUGUUUAUCCGAUGAAGUCCACAGUUUUCAUCCGAUUCUUUUCAAACUUGUUUAGUUUCUUUAUAUUAAUGAGGAUUCGAACCCUAUUGAUUUUCAGGUCACUGGGUUAAAG